Pelodiscus sinensis (Chinese soft-shelled turtle) is the source of this 343-nucleotide non-coding RNA. The record is from RefSeq and is a predicted model, not a curated record. Lineage: Eukaryota; Metazoa; Chordata; Testudines; Trionychidae.
CAGCCUGUUUACCAGCAGCCUUAGGUACAAAGGGCCUUUAGAAGGCAACCAGCUGGCAGGAGUCCUGGAGAUUGGAAGGGAGGAACCCGGACAGCAGCGUGUGAAGAGGCUGAGUGAACAACAAAGCUCCUCUCCUUUGAUUGAGCCUGUUUCGGCAGCUACACCCUCCUCACAGCGAGCAUGGUGCAACUUGCCCUAUUGACAAUGUUUGCAGGGGAGCUGCAGCCAUUAGAGACAAGGCCAGCAAGGUAAUAGCUGUUAGUGAUACUCAGAGCUCUGUGGAGCUCCCACACUUGUCUCCCUCCCCAGAAGAAAAUGGUCCAAUAAAAGCUAUUACCUCCCA